Molecule: ribosomal RNA, 467 nt
Filed under: uncultured bacterium
Lineage: Bacteria
Description: partial 16S ribosomal RNA
Rfam family: Bacterial small subunit ribosomal RNA
Source: RNAcentral
ACGAACGCUGGCGGCGUGCUUAACACAUGCAAGUCGCACGGAAAGGCCCUGCUUUUGUGGGGUGCUCGAGUGGCGAACGGGUGAGUAACACGUGAGUAACCUGCCCUUGACUUUGGGAUAACUUCAGGAAACUGGGGCUAAUACCGGAUAGGAGCUCCUGCUGCAUGGUGGGGGUUGGAAAGUUUCGGCGGUUGGGGAUGGACUCGCGGCUUAUCAGCUUGUUGGCGGGGUAGUGGCUUACCAAGGCUUUGACGGGUAGCCGGCCUGAGAGGGUGACCGGCCACAUUGGGACUGAGAUACGGCCCAGACUCCUACGGGAGGCAGCAGUGGGGAAUAUUGCACAAUGGGCGGAAGCCUGAUGCAGCAACGCCGCGUGCGGGAUGACGGCCUUCGGGUUGUAAACCGCUUUCGCCUGUGACGAAGCGUGAGUGACGGUAAUGGGUAAAGAAGCACCGGCUAACUACGUG